GCCGGCAUAGCUCAGAGGAAGAGCAACUCUUUCGUAAAGAGUAGGUCGUGGGUUCAAAUCCCUCUGCCGGCU
Molecule: transfer RNA, 72 nt
Filed under: Candidatus Omnitrophica bacterium 4484_70.1
Lineage: Bacteria; Pseudomonadati; Candidatus Omnitrophota
Description: tRNA-Thr
Rfam family: tRNA
About the family: Transfer RNA (tRNA) molecules are approximately 80 nucleotides in length. Their secondary structure includes four short double-helical elements and three loops (D, anti-codon, and T loops).
Source: RNAcentral